CACAGCGGUAGUUCAUGCCUUUUAUUUUUGCCCAGUAAGUGUUGACUUAGUUUUAGAUUAUUCGCAUUUUUCUAAUAAGUUUAAUUCUAAUUUAGCAAAAUAAUUACAAUUAUGUACAUUUAAAAUGUCUAUGGUUGAACCAAAACUAUCGCAGAGAAAUUGGUUGCAUGAUAUAUCAACCCACUGAUUCAGACUGUAUAUAUUUAUAUAUAUGCUACAUACUAUAUACAUAUCAUCCUAUAGUUAGAAUAUUUCCCUGUACUUAUCUGGCAUCGGUGAUAUGCUAUAUUCCAUCAACUUGAUUGAAAACCGACUCUCCUGACAGAUUCAGUCCAUAUUUUCUUUCAUAUAUUGUUGUAAAGCGUUCAAUCUUGCAUCUAUUUCCGAGAUUUCCACCGACCUGUUUAGUGAGUUAUCAAGUGCCUUGCCACCU
This is a non-coding RNA of Paramuricea clavata, 433 nucleotides long. The record is from the annotation of a GenBank genome assembly. NCBI's taxonomy places the organism in Eukaryota, Metazoa, Cnidaria, Anthozoa, Malacalcyonacea, Plexauridae.